RNAcentral lists this ribosomal RNA (373 nucleotides) under uncultured organism. RNAcentral describes it as "partial 16S ribosomal RNA". It matches the Rfam family "Bacterial small subunit ribosomal RNA", at positions 527 to 896 of the family's 1533-position model. The record is from RNAcentral.
GUAGGUGGCAAGCGUUGUCCGGAAUUAUUGGGCGUAAAGCGCGCGCAGGCGGUUCUUUAAGUCUGAUGUGAAAGCCCACGGCUCAACCGCGGAGGGUCAUUGGAAACUGGAGAACUUGAGUACAGAAGAGGAAAGCGGAAUUCCACGUGUAGCGGUGAAAUGCGUAGAGAUGUGGAGGAACACCAGUGGCGAAGGCGGCUUUCUGGUCUGUAACUGACGCUGAGGCGCGAAAGCGUGGGGAGCAAACAGGGAUUAGAUACCCUGGUAGUCCACGCCGUAAACGAUGAGUGCUAAGUGUUAGGGGGUUUCCGCCCCCUUAGUGCUGCAGCUAACGCAUUAAGCACUCCGCCUGGGGAGUCCGGCCGCAAGGCUG